RNAcentral lists this unclassified non-coding RNA (345 nucleotides) under soil metagenome. RNAcentral's name for it is "partial contains 5.8S ribosomal RNA, internal transcribed spacer 2, and large subunit ribosomal RNA". The stretch from base 1 to 120 matches the Rfam family "5.8S ribosomal RNA", at positions 35 to 154 of the family's 154-position model. The record is from RNAcentral.
GAUGAAGAACGCAGUGAAAUGCGAUACGUAAUGUGAAUUGCAGAAUUCAGUGAAUCAUCGAGUCUAUGAACGCACAUUGCGCCCCCUGGUAUUCCGGGGGGCAUGCCUGUCCGAGCGUCAUUGCUGCCCUCAAGCACGGCUUGUGUGUUGGGCCUCCGUCCUCCUCCCGGGGGACGGGCCCGAAAGGCAGCGGCGGCACCGCGUCCGGUCCUCGAGCGUAUGGGGCUUCGUCACCCGCUCUUGUAGGCCCGGCCGGCGCUUGCCGACACAUCAAUCUUUUUUCCAGGUUGACCUCGGAUCAGGUAGGGAUACCCGCUGAACUUAAGCAUAUCAAUAAGCGGAGGA